AACAUCUUUUGCAUUAGCAGAGAACUAUGAUCUCUUCUCUCAUCCCAGAAUAGCAUGUAAGAAAUUUUUGAAAUUACUGAAACCCAGAACACCAUCUGCUUUUACACAGACUGUGUACACACCAUACACUUAAAGCAUAUUUCCCCAGCUGCCCAGAGCCUAUUUGGGGGUGGGGCAAGCCUCACCUAGUGCAAAGCAAACUCUCAUGUGGAUUGGCUCCAUUGCUUCUGAACUGCUGGCACAAAGUCAACUAGAUCUCAGUCCUAGUCUGCAGGCUUGUAAUUUAUUCAGGUCACAUCCCAGUGCUGCUUCAUCUGAUGCUGCUGUUCCUUGCCACAGUAUGUUCAAGGUGCUUUUUAUAAUCCCCAUCAGGAACAAAGCAGAAUUGCCAAUCUCAUUCUUAUACAGUCCUGUGCUCCCCCCACUUUCCCCCCUUUUCUUUUCAGUCCUCUCCUCCUUUUCAGUCCUCUCCUCCUUUAUCUACAGAUUUUGUAAAAAAAUUAAAUGCACAAGUAUAUUACCUUUACUGCUGCCCCUUCCAAUAUUCCCCUGGCCUUUGCAUGCAAGGCCAGGGGAAUAUUGUGGGUUGUGGGUUUCUUUUGUGAGGCCAGUAAGGUGGGGUGGUGUUUUUUUUAAGGUACCCCUUUUGAGAGUCUUUCUCUCCUUUUGCAGGUGGGUGUGUAGGAAAAGAACUUUGCUUAAACAUUCAAAGUGUCCAUGAGAGCCAAGGGGAUAAAAACGCUUUGAGGAAAUUGAUGCAUUAAUUAUCCAUCUGCCCUAUCCUGCUCUUAUACAGAAAAGAUUAUCCUAUUUCAAUUCCUGGCAUGCUAGGGUGGUAGUGUAACUCAAUUAGCAAAUCAUGAUUUGAUUAACGUAGCUUGCAAGUUUAAGGGUGCUUCCAAAUGACCUGUUUAUUGAGCAUUCAUCCUGAUUUGUUUGGAGGGAGAUUAGACAACAUUGGCUGUUUCAUGAGAAUUCAUUCUGAUUUGUUUAUGGGGAUAUUAGAUGAUGUGGCAGCAAAGCAACUGUUAUCCCAUACUUUCCAAUGCAUUUUCAUCACUUUCCUUAUGGCAAAAAGUCAUUUCUUUUGGGAAAGUGGGUUUGUUGCCUAAGACAUCUGAAUCAACUAUAAUUGCACAACCUGAAUGUGCAGGUAUGUGAUUGAAACACACCUGAAAGGAGUGAGAGUCUGGAAGUGCUCAGUCUGUUUAGCUAAUGUUAUUGAGUUAUUUAAAUAUUUUUGGUUUGUUGCUUUAAGUGUACAAAUGCAGCAUAGGCUAUAAAAUAUAUAAAGGAAAGAAUUUGCUAAUAUAUGUAUAUGCAAAUCAACUUAUUAAAGGUUAUCUUUCAGUUGAGAGUAUUGCUUGCUGAGUUCUAAAGUAUAGAUUCUUCAAAACCAAAACAAGGAAGGCAUGAUUAUAGAUGUAGAUGGCGAAAGUUGGGGUAGAAGAAGAAAAGUACAAGCUCAGGAAAGCAGUAGGCCAUUAACAUCUUAAGUGGUUUUAUUCACUCUUGUAAUCUCUAGAGCAGUUUUAACUUUCUAUGACACGAUACCACAGUAUGUUAUCUCAGAGGUUCUUCCCAAGUUUCCUUUGACAAACACAGAUGCACAGUCUUACCUUAAGCUGCCUAAAAAAUUAAUGCUGGGGAAUGCACCUGUCUGUUUUGGGAAGGAAACGUGAGGACAUGGACCUUUAAAAGAUGGGCAUGCAGUCACAUUUCUAAAUACAUAAUCUUGUUGAAUGGUCACUUUAAAAUGUGAAGGUUCAUUAUUGUUUCACAAGUUGUGUAUGUCUUUAAGGGCCAGGGCAAAUAACAAGACCCAGUCUUACAGCUGUGAAACAUAGCAGGUGCUGCUAGGUUGUGUUAAUUAAGCUGUGUCAGCAAUUGGGUAGAGUAUAUAAAGAGCAGCACCUAGCGAUCUCAUCACCCUGGGGGAUGGGUUGGUGGUUGGGUCAUGUUUUUUGUUGUUGUUAUCUUUAGUGUAAAAGGAGUUUUUGUUUUUGUUAUUAAAACCUUUUUAAAGUUAUUUUGAGUUCCUUGUUAUGCAUGGUCUCCCCAGCAAGCUCUCUGCUGCGCUACUAAACUGCAAAUAGCCAACAAAUCUGCCUCCUGCAAAUUUAAGCACAUAUCUAAUUUUGCCCUGUCCUCUCAAGAAGGGAGCAAAGCAUUGGAAGAGGAGUCAGGCUCAAGGAAGAUAAGUUUAAGCAAAGUGUAUGCUUGGAGCUAUGUAAUACCUGCCUUCUCUAUGUCUGCAGCCCUGUUGAGCACACCAACCAGGGCAGAAGGGGAAGCAAGCAGGAAAAUCACUAUGCCAGUUUGGAACUGACAUAGUGAUCAAGCCCAAAGCAUGAUGGUAAUGGGGCUGGCUCAGGGUCCAAUGGAUACUGGGCUAUCUCUACUCCUCCUUGCCCUUGGGGAGAGCCCACUGGCAGUUUUUCAACAUUCAGUUUCAGCAGGUGGAAUAGAGAGCUACAUACUGGUGGAGUUCCACUAGUGCCAUUUUGUAGGCAGAGGCUAGAAGGACUGGUUAGGAGGACAUCUGCACCCAGUCUAAACCCCCAAGCCAACCUGGUAUAAAGGGAGUUUGGAUUGUGCCCUGAUGCCUGAAGUUUGUCACAUCUCAUGAACUUCACUUGUCUUCAGGACAGGACACCUUGGCAGUUAAAAAGAAAAUGAACUUUCAUGAGACUAAAAAUCUGAGUGCAUUUCUUCCUGCUUCAUUCUUCUGCCCAGAAAAAUAUAUAGGAGAAAAGAUAGAUCUAUAUCUUCUCCUCCUCUCUGAUAACACCCCCCACCCACAAAGCAGUAGAGGGAUUUUGAGCAAAAAUGCAGAUAAUUGGGGAAGUAUUAAGCACCCUCUCCCAAUCUUGCUGGCCACUUGAUCAAAUUCUCAGGUUGCAGAGGCUACUUUAGCUUU
This is a non-coding RNA of Podarcis lilfordi (Lilford's wall lizard), 2920 nucleotides long. Lineage: Eukaryota; Metazoa; Chordata; Lepidosauria; Squamata; Lacertidae. The record is from the annotation of a GenBank genome assembly.